CCUGGCGGCCUUAGCGCGGUGGUCCCACCUGACCCCAUGCCGAACUCAGAAGUGAAACGCUGUAGCGCCGAUGGUAGUGUGGGGUCUCCCCAUGCGAGAGUAGGGAACUGCCAGGC
This 116-nucleotide ribosomal RNA is filed under the name Escherichia coli. Lineage: Bacteria; Pseudomonadati; Pseudomonadota; Gammaproteobacteria; Enterobacterales; Enterobacteriaceae. The record is from RNAcentral.